GCACUAUAGAAUAAUCAACAUCCUUAUGUUUUUCACCAUGGAAGUCCUCUCCAUUGAUACCAAGUUGGCCAUCCAUAUAAUAGUCAAGGAUGUUGAUAAACUAGAUAAAUCAGUUCAAUAUUAUUAUAACAAAUAACAAAUACACAAAGAAUUUAUGUGAUUUAAUUUCGCCAAAAGACUAAGAAUAUUAAGGAUACAUAUAUUGUAGCCCCAACACCAAACAGAUCCAUCAUCUGUCAAACACAAGUAGUAUAAACAAUUAAAUAGGAGAAAAAACAUUUAAAUUUCAUUUUCUUUGUAUUGUCCUAAGUUUGCAUUACAUAGCCAUUCAUUUUAUUUUACCAGAUUGCAAUUUUGAAUACAUCAUAUGUCGUUUCUUAUCCAUUUAUCAAACAAGUCGUAAAAAAAAAUCACAUAAUGCACACAAUAUUCAUUUUUAAUUAUAAAUAAACAUCUUAGGUAUAAGUAUGUGUCCCAUCAUCACAAAAGAAAUUAACUUCUUUCUUAUUAAUGUUUAAAAAAUAUUGAAUAUCCCACUUUAACAAGAAAUAAAAUAUUUUAUAUUAUAUAAAUGAAAUGUAGAUCUCAUCUUGUCUUAUAAACGAGAUUUAUAAAAUUGAAUAGACUUAAAAUCUACUUCUCUUUAAAAUUUAAAGAAACUAUAGCACAUGUAUCAUCUUUAUCAAACUUAGUUUUAAACUAUGUUUUCAUCAAUGUAUUGAAAUGACACAUAUGAAAGAAAGAUGCAAAAGAAGAACCUAAAACAUUAAAAAAAAAUAGUUGCAAUAUUCAUACAACAAUACUUUUUCCUUUCAAUAUCUCUCUCCUUUAGCCUUAGUUAUAUCUUCUCUCUCUUUCUUGCCUCUUUGUAAUAUAUUCUCAUAAAAAUUGUUGUAUAAAUAAUAUUUUUUCUAAAAAACACCUAGAACUAUUUCAAACCAUAAAUCAUUAGUAUGAAACCAACACUAACCAUAUAUGACUUAAAUGAAUGUCAACUUAUUCUUAUAAGUUAACCUUUUAUAUAUUUAAAGAAAUAAUUAUGAUAAAAUUCACUCAAUUUUACAAUUGCAUAGAAAACUCACCCAUUAAUAUGAUACAUUAUAUAUUUUAUUUAUACUACAAAUUUUACAAUAUUAUGAUAGCAUAUGAGCAUGUAUUAAGAAAAACACUUAAUAUAGUAUUAUAACACAUGAAUUUGACUUAAUAUAAUCAUUUUUAUUCAACUCUAUUGGUUUGCAAAUUAUGUAAAAUAAAAUUCAGUCUAUUUUAAAAUUGAAAUAUUCAAAUAGAUUAUAUAUAUAUGUGAAUUAUGUAUUUUAUAGUAAAAAAAUAACAAUAUAAUAAUAUAAAAUAAUUAUGUUGGAACAAACUUAACUGGGUAAUACAAUACAUAACUUUUAACUUGAUAGUAAUUUUGAAAUUUUAUUUUUUGGUUUGAGUGGUAAUUUAUUAUUCAUAUUGAUAGAUGAUGUCUUAAUCUCUUUAUCUACAUGUGUAGAUCAUCUUGAGGUGUAGAUCGUCUAGCUAGCUAGGUUGUCUAAUGGCCAACAAUAUGUCUUUUUAUUGUCCCUUAUAUAUGAGCAAUUAGAAUUCAUUAGUAAAUGUAGAUUAUUUAGCUAUAGGUAAAUCCUCUAAUAGCCAACAAUGUACCAUUUUAUUAUCCUCUAUAUAUGAGUAACUUGUAUUCACUCUAGUAAAGUGAAAAUGAGAUAAGAAUUCAAUUAUAUAUAUAAGUUAUUUAAAAUUAAAGAAAACUAUUUAUAUAAAUACUCUUUUAAUUUAAUAAUGGAUGAAAAUAAGAUUUACAUUAAAAUAAUAUUUUUACUUAUAAGCUGUUUCUAAAUUUUCGAUAAAAAAUAACAACAAGAUAAACAAGAGAAUGCAAAUUCUACCCCACAUUAGAUCAUCAAAACUUACACACGAAUCUCAAAUAUUUUCAAUGAUUUUUAAUGUUUUUCUUUUCCUCGUGACUUAAAAAUUAGGCAAACUCUAAAAAAAGGUGUAUAAUUAACACAUCAAGCGUGUUUAAAAUAAGACGAACAAAAUUUAAAGUAUACACCAUACAUGAACUUGAAAAUUUUACAAGAACAAGUUUUUUUUUUUUAUUUUUCACUCUGUCUAGUAAAUACUAACUAAUUAAGUUUACUAAUUUUUUUAACGAGUUUAUCAUAAUUGUUAGUCCAUAUAAAUAUAUCAAAUUUUGACUUUACUUUCUAUACUUCUUUAAAAUGAUAUUAAAUCCUUAUAAAUUUUAAAACUUUUAAAAAAAUAAUAUACUUCAUGAUACGUUUAGCUAGGACAACAUGUCUACGAAACAACUACAUCAUUAAUGAAUGAUAUUAAAAUUCAUUAAAAAAAAUCUUAAGGAAUUAAUGCUAGAUGAAUUUAAGAUGGAUUAGCACAAUUUGCUCUAUUUUGACUAAUCCCUCAAUUAAGUUAGUGCCAAAUAUUGCUAGUGUCAAUAAUGUGACCGCUAAUAUUAAAGUUAAUUAUAAGGAUUAUUAUUGUAAAACACUAGUUAGUAAAUAUUGAUGUGAUGUAUUUUGUAUAAACUUGUUACGUAUAUGAGUGAAUCUAUAUCAAUUUUAAAGUGUACAAAUCCUCAUUUCUCAUUAAUCUAUAAUUGAGAUAUCACAUAAAACUUGAUAUAAUGGAUCAAAUAUCUUUUUUGCAUUUCUAGUUAAUUGAACAAAUAUUUUAAUGUAUUAUACAUGUUAUAUAUAUAAAUAUAAUUUUAGUAUAUUUAAAACAUGUAUUAUACUCUGCUAGAAAUCCUAAUUUUAUUUAUACUAAAUUAGUAAAUUUUGAUUUUAGUUCUUACAUUUUUUUUUUAACUUUUAUAUCUCUAAGAUUUGAAAUUUUGCAUUUGAUCCCUACUAUAAAUUAUACUCGUUAAUAACUUGGAUUAUUAAAAGGUCAAAUUACUUAUUUUCAUAUAAUACUCGACAAUAUCAACAUUUGGUACAUUUUUUUUUUUUUUUGAAGAUUCCAUUUUAUUUAAUUAACUCAAAAUAAGCUCUAGGGACCAAAAAUUAUAAUUUCAUAUUUUAGAAAAAUUAAAAUAAAAGAAAAAUAUUUUAAAUAUCAAAAUCAAAAUUUGCUCAAACACAAUUAUAUUAUAUUAUAUAUUUGUUAAAUAUAUUUUUCGUAGUAUUAAGUAAAAUUAUUAUUAUUUUCAUAAUUUUAGAUCUCUGAAUAGUAGUUAUAGUAAAAGAAUUAUUCAAAUAAGUUCUUAGUAUAUAAGAAACGAUUUUUUUAGAAUAUAUUAUAUUACAAUAUUAUGAUAUUUGAAUCAAUAAAAUAUUUUAAUAUAUUAGUUUAUAUUAAAAAUUUAUUUAUCACGUAAAUAAAAUUGAUAAAAAAUCAUUUUAACAAUUUUUUAAUAAAAAGAAUCAGAAAAUAUAAGUUUGAGAAGAAAAUCAAUAAAUAUUAAGUAACAGAACCUG
Molecule: long non-coding RNA, 3446 nt
Filed under: Phaseolus vulgaris (common bean)
Lineage: Eukaryota; Viridiplantae; Streptophyta; Magnoliopsida; Fabales; Fabaceae
Description: long non-coding RNA (PVUL_LNC004893)
Source: RNAcentral